RNAcentral lists this ribosomal RNA (1498 nucleotides) under Clostridium botulinum. Its description in RNAcentral is "bacterial SSU rRNA". It matches the Rfam family "Bacterial small subunit ribosomal RNA". Lineage: Bacteria; Bacillati; Bacillota; Clostridia; Eubacteriales; Clostridiaceae. The record is from RNAcentral.
GAGUUUGAUCCUGGCUCAGGACGAACGCUGGCGGCGUGCUUAACACAUGCAAGUCGAGCGAUGAAACUUCCUUCGGGAAGUGGAUUAGCGGCGGACGGGUGAGUAACACGUGGGUAACCUGCCUCAAAGUGGGGGAUAGCCUUCCGAAAGGAAGAUUAAUACCGCAUAAUAUAAGAGAAUCGCAUGAUUUUCUUAUCAAAGAUUUAUUGCUUUGAGAUGGACCCGCGGCGCAUUAGCUAGUUGGUAAGGUAACGGCUUACCAAGGCAACGAUGCGUAGCCGACCUGAGAGGGUGAUCGGCCACAUUGGAACUGAGACACGGUCCAGACUCCUACGGGAGGCAGCAGUGGGGAAUAUUGCGCAAUGGGGGAAACCCUGACGCAGCAACGCCGCGUGGGUGAUGAAGGUCUUCGGAUUGUAAAGCCCUGUUUUCUAGGACGAUAAUGACGGUACUAGAGGAGGAAGCCACGGCUAACUACGUGCCAGCAGCCGCGGUAAUACGUAGGUGGCGAGCGUUGUCCGGAUUUACUGGGCGUAAAGGGUGCGUAGGCGGAUGUUUAAGUGGGAUGUGAAAUCCCCGGGCUUAACCUGGGGGCUGCAUUCCAAACUGGAUAUCUAGAGUGCAGGAGAGGAAAGCGGAAUUCCUAGUGUAGCGGUGAAAUGCGUAGAGAUUAGGAAGAACACCAGUGGCGAAGGCGGCUUUCUGGACUGUAACUGACGCUGAGGCACGAAAGCGUGGGUAGCAAACAGGAUUAGAUACCCUGGUAGUCCACGCCGUAAACGAUGGAUACUAGGUGUAGGGGGUAUCAACUCCCCCUGUGCCGCAGUUAACACAAUAAGUAUCCCGCCUGGGGAGUACGGUCGCAAGAUUAAAACUCAAAGGAAUUGACGGGGGCCCGCACAAGCAGCGGAGCAUGUGGUUUAAUUCGAAGCAACGCGAAGAACCUUACCUGGACUUGACAUCCCUUGCAUAGCCUAGAGAUAGGUGAAGCCCUUCGGGGCAAGGAGACAGGUGGUGCAUGGUUGUCGUCAGCUCGUGUCGUGAGAUGUUAGGUUAAGUCCUGCAACGAGCGCAACCCUUGUUAUUAGUUGCUACCAUUAAGUUGAGCACUCUAAUGAGACUGCCUGGGUAACCAGGAGGAAGGUGGGGAUGACGUCAAAUCAUCAUGCCCCUUAUGUCCAGGGCUACACACGUGCUACAAUGGUAGGUACAAUAAGACGCAAGACCGUGAGGUGGAGCAAAACUUAUAAAACCUAUCUCAGUUCGGAUUGUAGGCUGCAACUCGCCUACAUGAAGCUGGAGUUGCUAGUAAUCGCGAAUCAGAAUGUCGCGGUGAAUACGUUCCCGGGCCUUGUACACACCGCCCGUCACACCAUGAGAGCUGGUAACACCCGAAGUUCGUGAGGUAACCGUAAGGAGCCAGCGGCCGAAGGUGGGAUUAGUGAUUGGGGUGAAGUCGUAACAAGGUAGCCGUAGGAGAACCUGCGGCUGGAUCACC